This 334-nucleotide unclassified non-coding RNA is filed under the name soil metagenome. Its description in RNAcentral is "partial contains 5.8S ribosomal RNA, internal transcribed spacer 2, and large subunit ribosomal RNA". The stretch from base 1 to 120 matches the Rfam family "5.8S ribosomal RNA", at positions 35 to 154 of the family's 154-position model. The record is from RNAcentral.
GAUGAAGAACGUAGCGAAAUGCGAUAAGUAAUGUGAAUUGCAGAAUUCAGUGAAUCAUCGAAUCUUUGAACGCUCAUUGCGCCCGCCAGUAUUCUGGCGAGCAUGCCUGUUCGAGCGUCAUUUCAACCAUCAAGCCCCAGGCUUGUGUUGGAGCCCUGCGGCUGCCGCAGCCUCCCAAAACCAGUGGCGGGCUCGCUAUCACACCGAGUGCAGUAGUUUACUCUUCGCUCAGGGCGUGUGGCGGGUGCUAGCCGUGAAACCCCCAACUUCUCAAGGUUGACCUCGGAUCAGGUAGGAAUACCCGCUGAACUUAAGCAUAUCAAUAAGCGGAGGA